GUCGAACGGCAGCACGGGUGCUUGCACCUGGUGGCGAGUGGCGAACGGGUGAGUAAUGCGUCGGAACGUACCGAGUAGUGGGGGAUAACGCAGCGAAAGUUGUGCUAAUACCGCAUAUUCUGUGAGCAGGAAAGCGGGGGAUCUUCGGACCUCGCGCUAUUCGAGCGGCCGACGUCUGAUUAGCUAGUUGGUGGGGUAAUGGCUCACCAAGGCGACGAUCAGUAGCGGGUCUGAGAGGAUGAUCCGCCACACUGGGACUGAGACACGGCCCAGACUCCUACGGGAGGCAGCAGUGGGGAAUUUUGGACAAUGGGCGAAAGCCUGAUCCAGCCAUGCCGCGUGUCUGAAGAAGGCCUUCGGGUUGUAAAGGACUUUUGUCAGGGAGGAAAUCCCCAGGGCUAAUACCCUUGGGGGAUGACAGUACCUGAAGAAUAAGCACCGGCUAACUACGUGCCAGCAGCCGCGGUAAUACGUAGGGUGCAAGCGUUAAUCGGAAUUACUGGGCGUAAAGCGUGCGCAGGCGGUUGGUUAAGCAAGAUGUGAAAGCCCCGGGCUCAACCUGGGAACUGCGUUUUGAACUGGCCAGCUAGAGUACGUCAGAGGGGGGUGGAAUUCCGCGUGUAGCAGUGAAAUGCGUAGAGAUGCGGAG
Molecule: ribosomal RNA, 649 nt
Filed under: uncultured bacterium
Lineage: Bacteria
Description: bacterial SSU rRNA
Rfam family: Bacterial small subunit ribosomal RNA
Source: RNAcentral